This 428-nucleotide ribosomal RNA is filed under the name uncultured prokaryote. RNAcentral's name for it is "bacterial SSU rRNA". It matches the Rfam family "Bacterial small subunit ribosomal RNA", at positions 355 to 774 of the family's 1533-position model. The record is from RNAcentral.
UGAGGAAUCUUGCGCAAUGGGGGAAACCCUGACGCAGCAACGCCGCGUGAGUGAGGAAGGUCUUCGGAUCGUAAAGCUCUGUCAAGUGGGAAGAAUCUUUCAUAAGCUAAUAUCUUGUGAAACUGACGGUACCACUGAAGGAAGCACCGGCUAACUCCGUGCCAGCAGCCGCGGUAAUACGGAGGGUGCCAGCGUUAUUCGGAAUUAUUGGGUGUAAAGCGCGUGUAGGCGACUUGGAAAGUCAGAUGUGAAAGCUCCGAGCUUAACUCGGAAAGUGCAUUUGAAACUUCCAGGCUUGAGUGCCGGAGAGGAAGGUGGAAUUCCCAGUGUAGAGGUGAAAUUCGUAGAUAUUGGGAGGAACACCGGUGGCGAAGGCGACCUUCUGGACGGACACUGACGCUGAGACGCGAAAGCGUGGGGAGCAAACA